CCUUAGCAAUUUUUAAUAAAUUUUUUCAUAAUUUACACAUAUAUAUGGCAACCUCCAUCUUGGUUUCAAUUUGGUAAAACAUGUGCAACUUUAUAUGUAAAUGAGAGUUGGUGACUGUUAAUGCGAGUGAGAGAGUCACUAACUUGAGAAAAUUAUAAACUCUGCCUGGAAAAAGUAACAAUCUUAUCAUGAAGAGUUCUCCUUCACUCUAAAUAAACAUCAAAAUGGUUUUUG
RNAcentral lists this unclassified non-coding RNA (234 nucleotides) under Hevea brasiliensis (rubber tree). Lineage: Eukaryota; Viridiplantae; Streptophyta; Magnoliopsida; Malpighiales; Euphorbiaceae. The record is from RNAcentral.